UCUGUUGGGUUUGAUUUGGACCGGAAUAUAGACAUUGCGGCCUAUCAAGAAAUAAAACUUGGGCUAAUCAAACAACGAAAGCCUGCCUAUAGUAGAUACGAGAUAAUGUUGAUGCUCCCUCAUCGGAAGUUUGAGGAUGGGCACUCGUGUGUAGCAUAGUAUAAAUAAAGAAGAUGGUCGAGGAUUGCAAAUUACUUACCUGGACGGGGUUUACGGGUGAUCAUGAAGAUCCGUGGCCUAGGCUGGUGGCUUCCUGCACUUGAGGUGCGCUAAGCCAAAGGUCACCCCAACCAGAAGAAAAAAAAAUUCUGUCUAAGUACCAGCUAGGCUGGUUAUUGGAUAGUGUUAGCGAUCCAAGACACUGAUGGAGGCAAAUCAUUGUAAUGGGCUCAUAGUUGCUGUUAAUGGAUCUGGUGCUUCUC
Long non-coding RNA from Arabidopsis thaliana (thale cress), 422 nucleotides. RefSeq annotates it as other RNA. The record is from RefSeq. The transcript has 2 exons. Lineage: Eukaryota; Viridiplantae; Streptophyta; Magnoliopsida; Brassicales; Brassicaceae.